RNAcentral lists this non-coding RNA (281 nucleotides) under Glycine soja. RNAcentral's name for it is "Bacterial small subunit ribosomal RNA". It matches the Rfam family "Bacterial small subunit ribosomal RNA", at positions 547 to 838 of the family's 1533-position model. Lineage: Eukaryota; Viridiplantae; Streptophyta; Magnoliopsida; Fabales; Fabaceae. The record is from Rfam by way of RNAcentral.
GGAAUUAUUGACAUAAAGAAAGUGGCCUUUCAAGUUAGCUAUCAGAUCCCAAGGCUCAACCCUAAGGCGUGGAAACUACCAAGGUGAUCUAUGAUAAGGGUAGAGGGAAUUUCUGGAGCAAUGGUGAAAUGCAUAGAGAUCAGAAAGAACACCAACAACAAAAGCACUCUACUAGGCCGAUAGUGCACUUGAGAGAUGGAAGCUAGGGGAGCGAAUGCCAUUAGAUACCCCAGUAGUCCUAGCUGUAAAAGAUGGUUAGUUACCUUCUUCAACUAACCACU